UACAGAGGGUGCGAACGUUGCUCGGAAUUACUGGGCGUAAAGCGCGUGUAGGCGGGUCGGCAAGUCAGGCGUGAAAUCCCCAGGCUCAACCUGGGAACUGCACUUGAAACUGCCGACCUUGAGUAUCGGAGAGGGUGGCGGAAUUCCUGGUGUAGAGGUGAAAUUCGUAGAUAUCAGGAGGAACACCGGUGGCGAAGGCGGCCACCUGGACGAUUACUGACGCUGAGACGCGAAAGCGUGGGGAGCAAACAGG
This 253-nucleotide ribosomal RNA is filed under the name uncultured bacterium. Its description in RNAcentral is "partial 16S ribosomal RNA". It matches the Rfam family "Bacterial small subunit ribosomal RNA", at positions 524 to 776 of the family's 1533-position model. The record is from RNAcentral.